Molecule: ribosomal RNA, 301 nt
Filed under: uncultured bacterium
Lineage: Bacteria
Description: partial 16S ribosomal RNA
Rfam family: Bacterial small subunit ribosomal RNA
Source: RNAcentral
CAGUAGCCGCGGUAAUACGUAGGGUCCGAGCGUUGUCCGGAAUUAUUGGGCGUAAAGGGCUCGUAGGCGGUUUGUCGCGUCGGGAGUGAAAACCAGCAGCUUAACUGCUGGCCUGCUUUCGAUACGGGCAGACUUGAGGCAUUCAGGGGAGAACGGAAUUCCUGGUGUAGCGGUGAAAUGCGCAGAUAUCAGGAGGAACACCGGUGGCGAAGGCGGUUCUCUGGGAAUGUUCUGACGCUGAGGAGCGAAAGUGUGGGGAGCGAACAGGAUUAGAUACCCCUGUAGUCCCUGUCUCUUAUAC